GUUUAUGAAAUGAUAGAAGUUAGAUUUGAGUUCACUGUGUGCUCUGUGCCAUUUUACAGGCAGGAAGCAGGAAUGAAAUCUUCCCAAGGAAAGCCUAGAAUUUGGGAACUUUGAAGCAGGAGGGUAAGACAGUGUCCUUAAGAGCUGCAUUAAAGUAGCAUGCAUGUUGGCUGUGCUCAGGCCUCCCAAAGCUGACCAUUCUUUUUUUGAUAGGAUGCUUUUCCCCUGAUAACUAGAUAGAUGUGUGUGUUUUCAUAUUCUAUGCACAUGUGUGCUACCUAUAUCCAGAAGCAUUGAAUAAAGCUGGCUUCUCCAUUUUGUUUAGAUAUUCAGAGCAAUACACACACACACACACACACACACACUCUUAAGAGACACAGAGACCAUUCUAACAGUAUUAAUUUAAAUGGCUGUUAACAGCUUAUAUCGUGUGGUUCAGUCAUCAAUAUGCAGGUCAAAUACCCCAAAUCAGAUAGAAGCAGCCUUUGACCGACGGAGCUUUCUAUAUUUUUUUUGAGUCUUUUAUUUUGUGAUUAGUGAAAUACCCAUUGAAGAUGACUGGGCGUAAAACUGUUUUCUUUCACAGAAAAGACCCCAGACCGUCUCACAGUGUCAGUCUUGCAGUCUUGGCUCAUUGCACACGGGGAUCUUUAAAUUAGGAUUAGCCUAUCAUAAAGUUAGCUUUUAAACAGAAUGGGAAAACAUAAGUCUGCUGAAGUGCAGGGAAGCCUGCUGCUACUGAUGGAACAUUGGUUUUUCCCCAACUAACAUCCAGAAUACAGGCAUUUCCAUUGGGGGUGUUUGAGAUCACCUGCCUACACAGAGCAGCUGAUAUCUGGAUAUGUAAGACAGGGUCUCUACGGAGAGGGAAUUCUUAGGAACGAUAUUACCAUGUUACUUACAGGUGAAGCAAGCACCACACUUUUCAGUCUACAGAGCCAACUUCCCUUUCCUUCUCUGUACCCACUUCUACCCAGAUGAAACGGAAGGAUGCGUUUGUAUAUUAAUUGUAAAUGAGACUAUAAAUGGCAGUGUCUUAUUAUGGUUACUUAUUUUUCAUUUCUCUUUAUCUGUAUGAUUCUGAAUAAAAAGAAAUACUGAUCUACGAAG
RNAcentral lists this long non-coding RNA (1110 nucleotides) under Mus musculus (house mouse). RNAcentral describes it as "long non-coding RNA chr11:24088269-24089379". The record is from RNAcentral. Lineage: Eukaryota; Metazoa; Chordata; Mammalia; Rodentia; Muridae.